GGGCCGGUAGCUCAGCAUGGCUAGAGCUUGAGCGACCAUAGCGUUCGGCUGAUAACCGAAAUGGCGAUGCCACGAGAGAGGUCGAGAGUUCGAAUCUCCCCCGGCCCA
This 108-nucleotide transfer RNA is filed under the name Nitrososphaerota archaeon. Its description in RNAcentral is "Thaumarchaeota archaeon tRNA-Ile". It matches the Rfam family "tRNA". From Rfam's summary of the family: Transfer RNA (tRNA) molecules are approximately 80 nucleotides in length. Their secondary structure includes four short double-helical elements and three loops (D, anti-codon, and T loops). Lineage: Archaea; Thermoproteati; Nitrososphaerota. The record is from RNAcentral. RNAcentral also lists the same sequence under 1 other name.